This 2111-nucleotide unclassified non-coding RNA is filed under the name Hevea brasiliensis (rubber tree). The record is from RNAcentral. Lineage: Eukaryota; Viridiplantae; Streptophyta; Magnoliopsida; Malpighiales; Euphorbiaceae.
UUUGGAUACUGCAGUGAAAAAAAAAAUAGAUUGCUUGUUUAUGAGUUUCUUCCCAACAACUCAUUGCUUUCUCAUUUGCAUGGAAAUGAAAAGCCGACACUUAAUUGGUCAAACAGAUGGAAUAUUGCUUUAGGCAUUGCAGAAGGAUUAGCACAUUUACAUGACCAAUGUGAGUAUUUACCGUUCGUUGAAUUUCAUUGGUAUCUUGAAUUUCAUUUCAUACUUCUUUUAUGAUAUUUAUUUAUGUUUUUAGGUAAGCCCAAAGUUAGCCAUCGAGAUAUUAAGAGUGCUAAUAUUCUUCUUGAUGAUAAAUUUGUACCAAAGGUAAUACGUUAUUAUUAAUUAGCCAUUAAUUGCUCGGCGGCCACCAAAUAAAAAAAGGCCCUUAAAUAGUUAUCACAUUGAAAUCUUGCCUUACAAGUAGUAAAGUUACAAUUUUAAAAACAAUAAUGUGUUAUAAUUUUCAGUUUGGAACAGAAAAUUAUGUAAAUUAUUUAUUUAACUUCUAGUCUUUCUUAUCAGAUUGCAGAUUUUGGAAUUGCCAAAGAAUUUUUGAUUUCUGAUUCUCACACUUAUUCUGAGCCAAGGGCAUCUUAUUUGUAAGAUUCAUUCUGUUUGUUGCAUAAGCAUGUACAAUUACCUCCCUUUAUUUUCACGUUCUCAAAGAACAUUCAUAAGAUAAUUAGAUAGGUUUUUCUUAUGACAAUUUCUCUCUAACUACAGUUAUGAACCUCCUGAGUAUUACAAAGUUGGUCCAGAAAGAAGGAAGCUAACUGCCAAGUCUGAUGUCUUUUCCUUUGGUGUUGUUCUUUUGGAAUUAAUUACUGGGAAAUUUGCCCAUCUUGGAAACAAUGUUUACUUAGUUAAUUGGGUAAGUACUUAUUCUCAAUCACAAUGCACUGCACAUGGGUGUUGCCUAUAUUAUUGGUUUUGCUUGCUAAAAUUUGAUUUAGGUAAGUUAUUUUUUCUCCUAGAUCUUAAUUACUAAUCGGCGGAUUGUUUACAUAAUAUUAUUUGAUUUUCUUAACAUUUUGGUUCCUUUAUUCAAAUCAUUGCAUCUGUUGUUACGGUGAAAAAAAAAAAAGAAUAUUCAAUUAAAGCCUGAAAUUGCCCUCUUGCAAUCAUAGUAAGUAAAAAAUAAUAUUGCCAUCUUAAUGUUUCAAAAAAUAUAAUUUUAAAAAAUAGAAAUUAUUUUUUUUUAUAACUAAUGGAAUACUCAAGUAACCUUUAUGCAUCCAUUCAGAUUCUCAUUCACUUUAUUUAUUUAUAUCUUUUAAAUUUCAGGUAGUUCCUCGACUCAAACAAGUUUUGGACACAGACAUACUAUAUUUGGAUUCAGAAAAUUAUAACAAUCUUGUUGAUUCCAAAUUGCAAAAAAAUUAUGAUAUAACACAAAUGAAUCGAAUGAUUUGUUGUGCUGCAGCUUGUGUAUAUAAACCUCCAGAAUCACGUCCUAAAAUAAGUGAGGUAAGUACACAAUAUCAUAUAUGAUAAAUUUAUAUGCUAAUUAAUCAGUAUCAGUGAUUGCUUGUUUUGUGAUACAGGUAGUUGAAGUACUAAAAGAAGACAAAGAACCCAAGAAUAUAUGGCUCGAAAAUGACACCCAGUACCUGCAUACGCUUAACUACCCGAGGAGGCCAUAGAAUACUCUCUAAGUCUUAACAGUUAAUUCUACCCAAUUCACCAAGUUGUCAAUUAACCUCUUCUAAGAAAAUGCUUGUUUUUUACUCUAGUUUAUUUUUGUGAGCUAGUAUUGGCAUCCCUAUUUAGUACAAGUUUGUUGCACAAUUUAGUUUGUGGUAUUACAUAUAAAUUGGUAUUCGUUAAUUGAGUUUGUUGUACUGUUCCUUGGAAUUUUAUUCAGUUUGCAAAUGUUUCUCCAUUUUGGUUAUUUGCAUCCCUAUCUGCUGAUGUUUCUCUUAAACUGCUAACUGAAGGCCUACUUUGCAGCUCCUUUUUGUUCUCUCCUAGUUGUUCUCUUUUUUUCCUUUGCUGUCAAACUCUGCAGUUUUGUUCUCUAACCAGGUGUUUUUUCACUUAGCAUAAUAUUAUCUAGAUUGAACGUAUGGAGAUGACUUGGUUUUAAAUGGCUUUAUUUAUGUUAGUUUUUU